GUUGAACGCUGGCGGCAGGCCUAACACAUGCAAGUCGAGCGGAUGAAGGGAGCUUGCUCCUGGAUUCAGCGGCGGACGGGUGAGUAAUGCCUAGGAAUCUGCCUGGUAGUGGGGGAUAACGUCCGGAAACGGGCGCUAAUACCGCAUACGUCCUGAGGGAGAAAGUGGGGGAUCUUCGGACCUCACGCUAUCAGAUGAGCCUAGGUCGGAUUAGCUAGUUGGUGGGGUAAAGGCCUACCAAGGCGACGAUCCGUAACUGGUCUGAGAGGAUGAUCAGUCACACUGGAACUGAGACACGGUCCAGACUCCUACGGGAGGCAGCAGUGGGGAAUAUUGGACAAUGGGCGAAAGCCUGAUCCAGCCAUGCCGCGUGUGUGAAGAAGGUCUUCGGAUUGUAAAGCACUUUAAGUUGGGAGGAAGGGCAGUAAGUUAAUACCUUGCUGUUUUGACGGUACCAACAGAAUAAGCACCGGCUAACUUCGUG
This 484-nucleotide ribosomal RNA is filed under the name uncultured bacterium. RNAcentral describes it as "partial 16S ribosomal RNA". It matches the Rfam family "Bacterial small subunit ribosomal RNA", at positions 28 to 507 of the family's 1533-position model. The record is from RNAcentral.